GAGUUCCCUGUUCCUUCUUCUUUUUUUUCGUUCUUCUCUCUUUCUCUCUCAUAAGCUCCACAAACCCUCAUGCUUAACACCAAAAUUGAAGGUCAAAGCUUGUGAAUCUCGCAAAAAGGCAAGAAGAAAAUGUGAUCUACGGACAGAGGGCUACACAGCGAUUCGAACGAAAUCUCAAUUAGCCAACUUUGGUGUUCGUAGUAUUUCAGAAUUUCAACAUUUUGGAGGUUUCUCUCUCUUUUGAAGUUUAGAGAUGGAUCUGAAGGCUAAGAAUCAUGGACAUGUUCUAGUUCUUUUUUUUAGAACUUAAUAAGAUACUUGUACAUUUUUAUUUGUAAGAUCAUCGAGGCAUGUAAACUUUUACUUUAUUUUGGUAAUGUAAAUUGUAGAUUGAGAGAACGGGGCUUGGAUGUGUAUAAAAAGUAGUCUAUUUUGGAGUU
Molecule: long non-coding RNA, 440 nt
Organism: Rhododendron vialii
Lineage: Eukaryota; Viridiplantae; Streptophyta; Magnoliopsida; Ericales; Ericaceae
Exons: 2
Source: RefSeq, a predicted model, not a curated record